This 390-nucleotide ribosomal RNA is filed under the name Bacillus toyonensis. RNAcentral describes it as "bacterial SSU rRNA". It matches the Rfam family "Bacterial small subunit ribosomal RNA", at positions 1 to 379 of the family's 1533-position model. The record is from RNAcentral. Lineage: Bacteria; Bacillati; Bacillota; Bacilli; Caryophanales; Bacillaceae.
UUAUUGGAGAGUUUGAUCCUGGCUCAGGAUGAACGCUGGCGGCGUGCCUAAUACAUGCAAGUCGAGCGGACGGAUUGAGAGCUUGCUCUCAAGAAGUUAGCGGCGGACGGGUGAGUAACACGUGGGUAACCUGCCCAUAAGACUGGGAUAACUCCGGGAAACCGGGGCUAAUACCGGAUAACAUUUUGAACUGCAUAGUUCGAAAUUGAAAGGCGGCUUCGGCUGUCACUUAUGGAUGGACCCGCGUCGCAUUAGCUAGUUGGUGAGGUAACGGCUCACCAAGGCAACGAUGCGUAGCCGACCUGAGAGGGUGAUCGGCCACACUGGGACUGAGACACGGCCCAGACUCCUACGGGAGGCAGCAGUAGGGAAUCUUCCGCAAUGGACGAA